This 640-nucleotide ribosomal RNA is filed under the name uncultured bacterium. Its description in RNAcentral is "bacterial SSU rRNA". It matches the Rfam family "Bacterial small subunit ribosomal RNA", at positions 209 to 847 of the family's 1533-position model. The record is from RNAcentral.
AGAAUAUCGGAGACGGAUGGGCAUGCGGCGCAUUAGCUAGUUGGCGGGGUAACGGCCCACCAAGGCGACGAUGCGUAGGGGUUCUGAGAGGAAGGUCCCCCACACUGGUACUGAGACACGGACCAGACUCCUACGGGAGGCAGCAGUGAGGAAUAUUGGUCAAUGGGCGAGAGCCUGAACCAGCCAAGUCGCGUGAGGGAGUACUGCCCUAUGGGUUGUAAACCUCUUUUGUCGGGGAGCAAAAGCCGGACGUGUCCGGCUGUGAGAGUACCCGAAGAAAAAGCAUCGGCUAACUCCGUGCCAGCAGCCGCGGUAAUACGGAGGAUGCGAGCGUUAUCCGGAUUUAUUGGGUUUAAAGGGUGCGCAGGCGGAUUUUUAAGUCAGCGGUCAAAUCGUGGGGCUCAACCCCAUCCAGCCGUUGAAACUGGGGAUCUAGAGUGUGCGAGAGGUAUGCGGAAUGCGUGGUGUAGCGGUGAAAUGCAUAGAUAUCACGCAGAACCCCGAUUGCGAAGGCAGCAUACCGGUGCACAACUGACGCUCAGGCACGAAAGCGUGGGUAUCGAACAGGAUUAGAUACCCUGGUAGUCCACGCAGUAAACGAUGAAUGCUACCUGUUUGGCCAGAUUGAAGGCUGAGCGGG